Molecule: long non-coding RNA, 277 nt
Organism: Magallana angulata
Lineage: Eukaryota; Metazoa; Mollusca; Bivalvia; Ostreida; Ostreidae
Exons: 3
Source: RefSeq, a predicted model, not a curated record
UUUUCAUCGGAUAUUUUCCUGAUCAUACAACGCCAGGUUUUGUCAAGAUGCAGUUCUCCUUUAGCCUGUUUGUUUUCCUCGUCCUGUUGGUUCUGGCUGUGACUAUGUUCACCUCGUCAGAAGCAUACAGGUACUGGUGGAAACCCAGAAGAUACUGGGGACCGUAUAGACCUUAUGGCGGCUCCUAUGAAUCCAGAGGCUGGGAUUGGGAUGAUUAAACAAUGGCAGUUGGUGUCAACGAUUGGAUGUUGUUCUUUAGAUUGUUAUAUUGAUGGCG